UACGUAGGGUGCAAGCGUUGUCCGGAAUUAUUGGGCGUAAAGCGCACGUAGGCGGCAUUGCAAGUCCCAUGUGAAAUCCCACGGCUUAACCGUGGAAGUGCAUGGGAAACUGCAGUGCUUGAGUACUUAAGAGGAUCGCGGAAUUCCCGGUGUAGAGGUGAAAUUCGUAGAUAUCGGGAGGAACACCAGUGGCGAAGGCGGCGAUCUGGGAAGAUACUGACGCUGAGGUGCGAAAGCGUGGGGAGCAAACAGGAUUAGAAACUUGUAG
Molecule: ribosomal RNA, 268 nt
Filed under: uncultured bacterium
Lineage: Bacteria
Description: partial 16S ribosomal RNA
Rfam family: Bacterial small subunit ribosomal RNA
Source: RNAcentral